This is a long non-coding RNA of Lolium rigidum, 444 nucleotides long. RefSeq lists it as uncharacterized. The transcript has 2 exons. Lineage: Eukaryota; Viridiplantae; Streptophyta; Magnoliopsida; Poales; Poaceae. The record is from RefSeq and is a predicted model, not a curated record.
GUACUCAAUGGUGCACCACCGGAGAUUAGUAGGCGAAGACGACCACCAAGCCUUGCCUUGACCUAGACCAAUCAAAGGGAACAAACAAAGCAAAUAUAAGAGUCAUGACUUGUUAUUUAUGAAGGAGCCAGCUAUGCUGCAACUCCUGUACUCUUUGAAGGUUAAUGCUAGGAACACAUAAUGACCCUGGUGUGCGGUAUGUUCUUAGUUCUGCUUUUAGCCAUAUUCUAAUUGGACCCAACUACUGAAUUUCGAAAAAGUUUUGAGCAGGUAACUUUCAGAAAGAAGAGGGUUCAAGAAAAGAUCUUUAGAGUACACAUUCAAUUUAAACUUUAAGACAGUUAGUAGUUCAGUGCACAGUUUUUCUGGUAAACAGUGAAUGCAAAACAAACAUGACAUGUGCAUGUCCUUUUUUUGUUGAGGAGAGUCACAUGCCUGUCCUUA